CAUGCUGUAGACCCGAAACCGUGUGAUCUACCCAUGGACAGGGUGAAGGUGGGGUAAAACCCACUGGAGGCCCGAACUCACUGUCGUUGAAAAGACAGGGGAUGAGCUGUGGGUAGGGGAGAAAUUCCAAUCGAACACGGAGAUAGCUGGUUCUCCCCGAAAUAGCUUUAGGGCUAGCCUCAAUUNAUGAUUCUUGGCGGUAAAGCACUGAAUAGGCUAGGGGCCUUACCGGGUUACCGAACCUUAUCAAACUCAGAAUGCCAAGAAUUUAGAUUGGGAGUCAGACUGUGGGGGAUAAGCUUCAUAGUCAAAAGGGAAACAGCCCAGACCAUCAGCUAAGGUCCCCAAGUAUACGCUAAGUGGAAAAGGAUGUGGAAUUGCAUAGACAACCAGGAUGUUGGCUCAGAAGCAGCCACCAUUUAAAGAGUGCGUAAUAGCUCACUGGUCGAGUGGUUCUGCGCCGAAAAUGUAACGGGGCUCAAGCGUAUCACCGAAGCUAUGGCUUGCACACACUGUGUGCAGGGGUAGGGGAGCGUUCUAUUCGCNGCGAAGUCAGACUGUGAGGUCUGGUGGAGUGAAUAGAAGUGAGAAUGCCGGUAUGAGUAUGCGAAAAGGUGAGUGAGAAUCUCACCCGCCGAAAACCUAAGGAUUCCUGGGGAAGGCUCGUCCGCCCAGGGUAAGUCGGGACCUAAGCCGAGGCGUAAAGCGUAGGCGAUGGACAACUGGUUGAGAUUCCAGUACCACUGAGAAGCGUUUGAGCGAUGGGGUGACACAGAAGGAUAGGUUAAGCGUGCCGUUGGUUGAGCACGCCCAAGCCCGUAGGGUGUGAGAUAGGCAAAUCCGUCUCGCGAAUAAACCUAAAAGGUGAUGGGGAGCGAAAUAAGUAGCGAAGUAACCGACUCCAAGCUGUCAAGAAAAGCCUCUAGCGAGCUUNCUUAGUGCCCGUACCGUAAACCGACACAGGUAGGUAAGGAGAGAAUCCUAAGGCGCGCGAGAAAACCCUCGUUAAGGAACUCGGCAAAAUGACCCCGUAACUUCGGGAGAAGGGGUGCUCUAGAGAUAGAGCCGCAGAGAAGAGGUCCAGGCGACUGUUUAUCAAAAACACAGGUUCCUGCCAAUCUGAAAAGAGAAGUAUAGGAGCUGACGCCUGCCCGGUGCUGGAAGGUUAAGAGGAGAGGUUAGCCCGAAAGAGCGAAGCUUUGAAUUGAAGCCCCAGUAAACGGCGGCCGUAACUAUAACGGUCCUAAGGUAGCGAAAUUCCUUGUCAGGUAAGUUCUGACCCGCACGAAAGGCGUAACGAUCUGGACACUGUCUCAACGAGGGACUCGGCGAAAUUGUAAUACCCGUGAAGAUGCGGGUUACCUGCGACAGGACAGAAAGACCCCAUGGAGCUUUACUGUAGCUUGACAUUGGACUUUGGUAUGAAAUGUACAGGAUAGGUGGGAGACUNAGAAGCUAGGGCGCCAGCCUUGGUGGAGUCACNGGUGGGAUACCACUCUUUUUGUACUGAAGUUCUAACCUAGGCCCCUGAAUCGGGGUUGGGGACCGUGUCAGGUGGGCAGUUUGACUGGGGCGGUCGCCUCCUAAAGAGUAACGGAGGCGCCCAAAGGUUCCCUCAGCGCGGAUGGAAAUCGCGCGAAGAGUGUAAAGGCACAAGGGAGCUUGACUGCGAGACCAACAAGUCGAGCAGGGACGAAAGUCGGGCUUAGUGAUCCGGUGGUACCGAGUGGAAGGGCCAUCGCUCAACGGAUAAAAGCUACCCUGGGGAUAACAGGCUUAUCUCCCCCAAGAGUCCAUAUCGACGGGGAGGUUUGGCACCUCGAUGUCGGCUCAUCGCAUCCUGGGGCUGUAGUAGGUCCCAAGGGUUGGGCUGUUCGCCCAUUAAAGCGGUACGUGAGCUGGGUUCAGAACGUCGUGAGACAGUUCGGUCCCUAUCCGUCGCAGGCGCAGGAAAUUUGAGAGGAACUGACCCUAGUACGAGAGGACCGGGUUGGACGGAUCACUGGUGUACCAGUUGUCUCGCCAGAGGCAGUGCUGGGUAGCUAUAUCCGGAUCGGAUAAGCGCUGAAAGCAUCUAAGCGCGAAGCCGGCCUCAAGAUGAGAUUUCCCACAGCGUAAGCUGGUAAGACCCCUGAAAGAUGAUCAGGUAGAUAGGCCCGAAGUGGAAGUGCGGCGACGCAUGGAGCGGACGGGUACUAAUCGGUCGAGGGCUUGACCUA
RNAcentral lists this ribosomal RNA (2219 nucleotides) under Desulfitobacterium sp. PCE1. Its description in RNAcentral is "bacterial LSU rRNA". It matches the Rfam family "Bacterial large subunit ribosomal RNA", at positions 703 to 2925 of the family's 2925-position model. The record is from RNAcentral. Lineage: Bacteria; Bacillati; Bacillota; Clostridia; Eubacteriales; Desulfitobacteriaceae.